UACGGGGGGGGCAAGCGUUGUUCGGAAUUACUGGGCGUAAAGGGCUCGUAGGCGGCCAACUAAGUCAGACGUGAAAUCCCCAGGCUCAACCUGGGAACUGCGUCUGAUACUGGAUGGCUUGAAUCCGGGAGAGGGAUGCAGAAUUCCAGGUGUAGGGGUGAAAUGCGUAGGUAUCUGGAGGAAUACCGGUGGCGAAGGCGGCAUCCUGGACCGGCAUUGACGCUGAGGAGCGAAAGCCAGGGGAGCAAACGGG
RNAcentral lists this ribosomal RNA (253 nucleotides) under uncultured bacterium. RNAcentral's name for it is "partial 16S ribosomal RNA". It matches the Rfam family "Bacterial small subunit ribosomal RNA", at positions 524 to 776 of the family's 1533-position model. The record is from RNAcentral.